Molecule: RNA transcript, 3193 nt
Organism: Solanum dulcamara
Lineage: Eukaryota; Viridiplantae; Streptophyta; Magnoliopsida; Solanales; Solanaceae
Gene name: putative receptor-like protein kinase At3g47110
Exons: 4
Source: RefSeq, a predicted model, not a curated record
UCACCUUACCCUUACCUAUUAUAUUCAAAACAAAAACAGGAAAUAGUCUUGUUGUGUACUCCCAAACAAAAUGGAACAAUCUUUUAUGAAUUUCAAGUGGUUAGUAUCAUACAUCCGUUGCUCAAUUCUUGUUAUGUCUAUGACAGUGUCAUGUUUUGAUGAACAAGCUUUACUAGACUUUGAAAGUAGAAUCACUGAUGAUCCAUUCCAAGUCAUGUCUUCUUGGAACAAUUCUCUCCAUUACUGCAAUUGGACAGGCAUAACAUGUAACCCCUUCUUUGAAAGAGUCAUAAUUCUUGACUUGAGAUCACUAAAGCUCGUUGGAUCCAUACCGCCUUCUAUUGGGAACCUCACGUUCCUAACAGCGAUAAAUCUUAGGAAUAAUAGCUUCCAUGGUGAAGUUCCUAUGGAAAUUGGCAACCUGUUGCAGCUGCAACAUCUCAAUCUCACUUGGAAUUCUUUUACUGGAACCAUUCCUGCUAAUUUGAGUUACUGUAAAGAACUUAAAUCACUUGCUCUAGAAUAUAAUAGUCUAUUUGGGAAAGUAUUACCUGAUCAGCUCAGUUCACUUUCAAAGUUGAAUUAUUUAGGCCUUGGAAGCAACAAUCUCACAGGAGGUAUUCCAUCAUGGAUAGGAAACUUUUCAUCUCUUCGAGGUCUUUCCCUUGCAAUUAACAAUCUACAAGGACCAAUACCUCGAGAUAUUGGUCGUUUGUCAAACUUGCAAAUCUUCCAAGUUUAUGGAAAUCAGUUGAAUGGUACAAUUCCUCAAUCUGUUUUCAAUAUAUCCUCUGUUUACUAUUUCUCUGUUACUCAAAACUUGUUGUAUGGAGAGCUUCCAUCAGAUAUAGGCCUUACUCUUCCAAAUCUUGAGGUGUUUGCUGGUGCUGUGAACGACUUCACGGGACCAAUUCCUGUUUCAUUAUCAAAUGCUUCAAAGCUUGGUGUGCUUGAUUUGUCUCAAAAUAAGCUCACCGGAAAUGUCCCUACGAGUUUAGGACAAUUGCAAAUGUUGUACAGGUUGAACUUUGAGAUCAAUAGUCUUGGAAGAAACACAAGUGAAGACUUGAGGUUUCUUGAUUUCAUAGUUAACUGCACAAUUUUGCAAGUUCUUAGCUUCGAGAACAAUUUUUUGGGAGGCGAAUUGCCUAAAACAAUCGGUAACCUUUCCACAAGUCUAGCAAUAUUUUGUGUCGGUUAUAAUAUAAUAGUUGGUUCUCUUCCUACUGGACUAGAAAACCUUGUUAAUUUGACCCUUCUAUCACUGGCUAAUAACAACUUGAGAGGCAGUGUUCCUGAGUCUUUAGGUAAGCUUCGACGCCUGCAAGGACUGAUGUUGAAUGGAAACAAGUUGUCUGGAAGGAUUCCAUCUUCUAUUGGUAACUUAACAUCUCUGUCUACUUUAAACAUUGAGGACAAUGAGUUAGAAGGAAACAUACCUCCGGAGCUCGGGCAGUGCACCCGUUUAUCAGUGCUAAACCUCACAGGAAAUAACCUUGUUGGUUCCAUACCAAAGGAGCUUGCAGGUCUUUUUUCUCUUUCAAUUGCUUUAGCCUUAUCGAACAAUUCUUUGACCGGUUCCUUGCCAGCUGAAAUUGGAAAGUUGAUAAAUCUCAAGGAAAUGGAUAUUUCACACAACAAAUUAUCAGGUGAAAUUCCAAGCACCCUAAGUAGCUGUGUCAGCUUAGAGCGCUUCACAGCGAAUAAUAACCUGUUUCGUGGAGAAAUUCCUGAAUCCUUGCAAGGUUUAAGAGGUUUAGAAGAAAUGGAUUUGUCACACAAUAACAUCUCAGGAGGAAUACCACAGUUUCUUGUGAAACUUCCAUAUCUUAGGAAGCUUGAUCUUUCAUUCAACAAACUUGAAGGCGAAGUACCAACUGAAGGGUUCUUUGCAAAUGCAAGCGCCGUCUUAAUCUCGGGGAAUCAUGAACUAUGUGGAGGUCCUCCAAACUACAAUUUUCCUACAUGUCCUAAACAAAAAGAUGCAUCAUCAAAGAAACACAUUAGUUCAAGGAAAAAAGUAGUAGCAAUUAUUCUUUCUGUUACAUUUUCAUUUUUACUAUUAUGUUCUUUUGUAGCUUGUUAUAUAGUAAUUAGGAACUCGAGAAAGAGAGAUCUCACUGGACGGUCCUCAAGAGAAAGGCAGUCUGAACAUUUUGAUGAUGACAAACCAACUUUGUCUAAUGAUCCAAUUUUGGCAGCAAAAAUAACUUACCAAGAUAUAUUUAAGUCAACCAUUGGAUUUUCUGAGGAUAAUCUGAUCGGUACAGGAAGUUUUGGUUCUGUUUACAAAGGACAGUUUCAGGUUUUUGAUAAAGCUAUGGCAGUGAAAGUAUUGAACCUACAACAAAGAGGUGCUUUGAAAAGCUUUUCGGAUGAAUGCAGAGCUUUGAAAAGCAUAAGGCAUCGUAAUCUCCUCAAGAUAAUAGCUGUUUGUUCAAGCAUGGAUUACCAAGGUAAUGAUUUCAAAUGCAUAGUCUUUGAGUUCAUGGAAAAUGGAAGCUUAGAUGACUGGCUGCACUCGAAAGGUGAUGAGCAAUACCUCAAUAUAAUCCAAAGACUAAACAUCGCAAUAGAUGUUGCUUCAGCACUUGAUUAUCUCCACAACAAUUGCCAAGUACCAAUUGUUCACUGCGAUUUAAAACCGAGCAACAUACUCCUCGAUGAAGAGAUGACUGCCCAUGUUGGUGACUUUGGACUGGCAAAAUUUCUCUUUAAAUCAUCAUGGAACAAACAAACUUCUAUUGCACUAAACGGUUCUAUAGGUUAUAUCCCACCAGGGACUGAGGUUGAGGAUCAUAUUCCCACACGUGGCUAGUGAGCUUUCUUGUCGGCGGAGUUAUGAUAUUUGACAUACUCGUACAUUUUAUGUACUGACGACAUUUGGUCUGCAUCAUUUAUGAUGCAGAUAUUGGUGCUAGAGAUCAUCAACAUGCACUCCGUUGAAGACCUAUUCCUUUCCUGACAAAUGAUUUCGGUGCUCGUUUCCAGAAUCAUGGCUAGUAAGAUUGCAGCACUUCCAGUCAUAAGUUGGUGAGUCCUCCUCAUUUGGGGACUCCAUGGAUUUAGUUUGUUAGACUUUCUUUGUUUAGUCAUUGGACUUUGAGAUAGUUAGAGGCCACGUCCCAAUAAACUUAUUUCUUUUAUUCAAGGCAUUAGAGGUUUAUUUCAAGUUUUAGUAUUAAAUUCAUGG